Long non-coding RNA from Mesoplodon densirostris (Blainville's beaked whale), 327 nucleotides. RefSeq lists it as uncharacterized. The record is from RefSeq and is a predicted model, not a curated record. The transcript is spliced from 3 exons. Lineage: Eukaryota; Metazoa; Chordata; Mammalia; Artiodactyla; Ziphiidae.
GUGGGGAUCACAGGUCCUGUUGUCCUGCACCAGCGUUUCAUUCCUGUCUCUGGAACUUGCUCACCCUGGAAGCCAAGGCCGGUGACCUCAUGUGUGACACAGCUUAUCCUGGCAGCCCCUCCCUCAGUGCCCAGCCCACUGGGGCCUCCGUCCCUGGAGACGCUGCUGCCAUCUGAGUUCUCCUGGUUUUCAGGUGUCCUUGGGAUUCGGGUUCGAUCCCUAGUCAGGGAACUAAGAUCCCACAUGCCGCGGGGCAACUAAGCCCGCAUGCCGCGACUACCAAGCCCGCGCCGUCUGGAGCCCGAACGCUGCAACUAAGACCCGAUG